RNAcentral lists this transfer RNA (75 nucleotides) under Tamias striatus (eastern chipmunk). RNAcentral's name for it is "tRNA-Leu". It matches the Rfam family "tRNA". Rfam says of the family: Transfer RNA (tRNA) molecules are approximately 80 nucleotides in length. Their secondary structure includes four short double-helical elements and three loops (D, anti-codon, and T loops). RNAcentral also lists the same sequence under 1 other name. The record is from RNAcentral. Lineage: Eukaryota; Metazoa; Chordata; Mammalia; Rodentia; Sciuridae.
GUUAAGAUGGCAGAGCCUGGAAAUUGCGUAAGACUUAAAACUUUAUUAUCAGAGGUUCAACUCCUCUUCUUAACA